RNAcentral lists this long non-coding RNA (881 nucleotides) under Chinchilla lanigera (long-tailed chinchilla). RNAcentral's name for it is "lncRNA (ENSCLAG00000028154.1)". Lineage: Eukaryota; Metazoa; Chordata; Mammalia; Rodentia; Chinchillidae. The record is from RNAcentral.
CUCAUUUUAUUUUACUUGUUUAUUUAUUUUAUGGCAUUGGGGAUUGAACCCAGGGUUUCCCACACACUAGACAAAUGCUUUACCACUGAGCUAUACAACCAGCUCCUUAUUCUCACACAUGUAGCAGCGCUUGUCUUACCCAGUAUCUCCAGGAUAGGGCAGGCUUGGGAGGGAUGAUGCUGCCCGAGUUGUGGUGUAGGGAUCCUACGGAAGCGGCCAAGUCCAAAAAGGAAAAGACUGCGCAGGAAACAGGAAGCUCUAGGCUUCCCCAGGGCACGCCCAGAUUACCCAGGGCUCAGGCCCCCUUGUGACCGUUUUCCCCAGACACCUGAGGAAUAAGAAAGGGCUGGUGCCCUAGUCUAGCUGCAAGGCAGCCAAACAGUGCCGGCAGCUGAGUCCCUAAGUGCAGCCUGUGCGACAGGAAUCACCGAAGACCAGGUUCCCAGGGAGCUGUGUGAGCUGCAGGCCUGCCCAGGCCCUGCCACACGAUAAAAGCCUGCAUUCCACUCGGCUCCUUAUCGGAAGAACAUUCCUGACUCCCAGGGUCAGAACCAGGAGACUCGCUGACAGACUAGGCUCUGCUGACAGCACGCAGAGACAGCCCUGGGCUCAGGACCCUCCCGGACUUUUCUUCUGGAGUGGAAUUCUGAGGCUUCCUCUGAGUUUCCGGCACUGGACGGAAAGGGGCCUCCGCCCAUGAUUUCCCAGGCUGAGCCCUCCAGCCACUGGCGGUGCUAAGAAACACCUGUCACUUCACAGGAUGAACGUCAGGUGAGGUGCCUUAUUCUCCAUCAGCCCUUGCAUUCAGUCACGGGUCAAAUUGUGUGGCUUCUCCCUUCAAAUGGCUUUCCUUCUCAUCUUUUCUUCAUUGCUCACCCAUG